RNAcentral lists this ribosomal RNA (1368 nucleotides) under uncultured bacterium. Its description in RNAcentral is "bacterial SSU rRNA". It matches the Rfam family "Bacterial small subunit ribosomal RNA". The record is from RNAcentral.
AGAGUUUGCUCCUGGCUUANGACGAACGCUGGCGGCGCGCCUAACACAUGCAAGUCGAACGAGCGAGAGAGAGCUUGCUUUCUCGAGCGAAUGGCGAACGGGUGAGUAACGCGUGAGGAACCUGCCUCAAAGAGGGGGACAACAGUUGGAAACGACUGCUGAUACCGCAUAAGCCCACGGGUCGGCAUCGACCAGAGGGAAAAGGAGCAAUCCGCUUUGAGAUGGCCUCGCGUCCGAUUAGCUAGUUGGUGAGGUAAUGGCCCACCAAGGCGACGAUCGGUAGCCGGACUGAGAGGUUGAACGGCCACAUUGGGACUGAGACACGGCCCAGACUCCUACGGGAGGCAGCAGUGGGGAAUAUUGCACAAUGGGGGAAACCCUGAUGCAGCGACGCCGCGUGGAGGAAGAAGGUCUUCGGAUUGUAAACUCCUGUGGUUGGGGAAGAUAAUGACGGUACCCAACAAGGAAGUGACAGCUAACUACGUGCCAGCAGCCGCGGUAAAACGUAGGUCACAAGCGUUGUCCGGAAUUACUGGGUGUAAAGGGAGCGCACGCGGGAAGACAAGUUGGAAGUGAAAUCUAUGGGCUCAACCCAUAAACUGCUUUCAAAACUGUUUUUCUUGAGUAGUGCAGAGGUAGGCGGAAUUCCCGGUGUAGCGGUGGAAUGCGUAGAUAUCGGGAGGAACACCAGUGGCGAAGGCGGCCUACUGGGCACCAACUGACGCUGAGGCUCGAAAGUGUGGGUAGCAAACAGGAUUAGAUACCCUGGUAGUCCACACCGUAAACGAUGAUUACUAGGUGUUGGAGGAUUGACCCCUUCAGUGCCGCAGUUAACACAAUAAGUAAUCCACCUGGGGAGUACGACCGCAAGGUUGAAACUCAAAGGAAUUGACGGGGGCCCGCACAAGCAGUGGAGUAUGUGGUUUAAUUCGACGCAACGCGAAGAACCUUACCAAGUCUUGACAUCCCUUGACGAUGCUGGAAACAGUAUUUCUCUUCGGAGCAAGGAGACAGGUGGUGCAUGGUUGUCGUCAGCUCGUGUCGUGAGAUGUUGGGUUAAGUCCCGCAACGAGCGCAACCCUUAUGGUCAGUUACUACGCAAGAGGACUCUGGCCAGACUGCCGUUGACAAAACGGAGGAAGGUGGGGAUGACGUCAAAUCAUCAUGCCCUUUAUGACUUGGGCUACACACGUACUACAAUGGCGUUAAACAAAGAGAAGCAAGACCGCGAGGUGGAGCAAAACUCAGAAACAACGUCCCAGUUCGGACUGCAGGCUGCAACUCGCCUGCACGAAGUCGGAAUUGCUAGUAAUCGUGGAUCAGCAUGCCACGGUGAAUACGUUCCCGGGCCUUGACACACCGCCCGUC